AGCGAACGCUGGCGGCGUGCCUAACACAUGCAAGUCGAACGUGAAAGGGAGCAAUCCCGCGUAAAGUGGCGUACGGGUGAGUAACACGUAGGUAAUCUACCCCAGAAUCUGGAAUAACCGGCCGAAAGGCUGGCUAAUACUGGAUAGAGCGACGGACUCCGUAAUUGGGUUUUUCGGGAAAGGGAGCCUGUAAAAAGGCCUUCGUUCUGGGAUGAGCCUGCGUCCCAUCAGCUAGUUGGUGAGGUAAAAGCUUACCAAGGCAAUGACGGGUAGCUGGACUGAGAGGACGGGCAGCCAGCCUGGGAGUGAAACACGGGCCAGACUGCUAGAGGAGGCAGCAAGGGGGAAACUUGCGGAAGGGGCGAAAGACUGACGACGCAACGCGGCGGGAGUGAAGAAGGACGUCGGGUUGUAAAGGUCUGUCGAGUGGGACGAAAAUGCUUGGAGUUCACAGCUCCAGGAACUGACGGUACCAGUAAAGAAAGCACCGGCUAACUCCGUG
This 502-nucleotide ribosomal RNA is filed under the name uncultured bacterium. RNAcentral describes it as "partial 16S ribosomal RNA". It matches the Rfam family "Bacterial small subunit ribosomal RNA", at positions 29 to 507 of the family's 1533-position model. The record is from RNAcentral.